This 296-nucleotide ribosomal RNA is filed under the name Clostridioides difficile. RNAcentral's name for it is "partial 23S ribosomal RNA". It matches the Rfam family "Bacterial large subunit ribosomal RNA", at positions 1769 to 2065 of the family's 2925-position model. Lineage: Bacteria; Bacillati; Bacillota; Clostridia; Peptostreptococcales; Peptostreptococcaceae. The record is from RNAcentral.
UCAGGUGGCCGCAGAGAAUAGGCCCAAGGGCUGUUUACCAAAAACAUAGGUUUCUGCUAAGUCGCAAGACGAUGUAUAGGAGCUGACGCCUGCCCGGUGCUGGAAGGUUAAGGGGAUCUGUUAGAGCAAUCGAAGCAGUGAACUUAAGCCCAAGUAAACGGCGGCCGUAACUAUAACGGUCCUAAGGUAGCGAAAUUCCUUGUCGGGUAAGUUCCGACCCGCACGAAAGGCGUAACGAUUUGGGCACUGUCUCAACAACAGACUCGGUGAAAUUGUAAUUCCGGUGAAGAUGCCGG